GCUCGCAUGCCCGCUGGGGAGCUGCUGAGAUGGAGCGGGUGGAGAGCUGCUCCGUCACCUCCCCUCCUCCCUGCCUGCUGCAGCAACGUGAGCAAGUGCAGGGCUGUCACAGUUCCUCUGCUCAGUGUCGCUGGGAGAUUGUGUCAUAGCUCAUCUCAAUCUUCUGCGGAUUUUUGCAUAAAUGUCAAGUGGACAUUCCUUGUAGCCCUUCACAGCUUCAGAAAUACAGAAGCUGCAGAAGUGCAAGAAGACCCUGUGCUCUACACUUAUUCUGCAUUGUCAGGAAACUACUCAGUCACUAAACGUGGAUAUGAAAUAUUCUUUUCUCUACUGCCUUGAUUCAGACAGCCUUGUACUCAGCAAUGGUUUUGUGAACAUAUUGCCACAGCAGCACCCAAGAAAUACAAUGCUGACUGAUGUGAAACUCAUCACGGAUACAGGCCUGAGUAAGGGACACUACAUCCUUUUCAUCAUUUUAAACCCUGACCUGAGUGUUUGGUUUAUUUUUUGGUAACCUGUCUGAUUAUUGAAUACUCUUCAGGUUAUUUUACUGUUUAGAACACAAUGCAAAUAGAAGGGAGACUGACACAGAAAUUAUUUAAAUGAAACACUCAAGCAUGUGUAUGAGGAUAUGUGGGUGAAAUACGUUCUAACAUCACUGGAAGGGUCACGAUAUUGCAGUUACUUGAACCUGACAUACCAUAAGGUAGAUGACUUUUCACUUUUCUAAGUUAGAAAUAUCUUGUUCUGUGAAACUAAAGUAGCAUUAAAAAGAUCUCAUCUCAUGAGACAAAAUGCAUUUUUUAUUGGGGCUAUAUUUGAUAUCCUUCCUUAUCACUGUGGAGGCUUCAGAAUUCAUGACACCUCAAUUGCAAAGAAGGUAUGUGUUUGCCAGUGCUUGCUGGUUUAGUGCUGACUGAAGCUGUUUGUAACUAUAGAGAGUGCCACAGCACAGAGGGGAACAUUUCUAUUCCAGAAGUAGAGAUAGCCUCAACCUGAAGCAAGGUAUGUGCCCAGCAUAUGGUAAUGAACUUAUAGCAAUAUUAAAUUAUCCUGAAUACUUUUCCACAGCUAAUGAAUCUAGCUCUGAAACUUCUGCACAAAAAUACAUAUAUAGGUAGAUAGAUAAGCCCAAGCCCCUGUGUUAAUCCAAGGAGAACAUGAAAAAAAUAAAACAUUCAAAAGAAAUUUCUUAUUUUAUUUGUAUAGAUAAAUGCCCCUGAAUGAUGCCAAACAUGUUGGUGAGACAAUAUGAUGUCAAAUAAUGUCAUCCAGUUCCAGUUUUCUUCAGAACAUCAGUUUUGUGUAACUAUUGAUUGGUAUGGAUAACAAAAAUCAGUAAAAUCAGCGGCAGAAAAAUGAACAAUAUACUGCCUAUUUUAAGGGCAUUUUUUUCCUAGAUUUUUAAUCCUGGAAAAUCCCUUUGAGAAUGAAAAAGAACACAAUAGCAAAACAGAACUUCAUCUGUAUUUCUCUUAAUUGACACUAGAAAAUUUUAGGGAUUCUAUGGAGCUUACCGGAGUGCCAUUCUUGCACAUGACCUGAGCUAUGUACAACACAAGUGCUAUGAAUACUGCAUAAAACAUCCUUCUAUUCUGUCCUGAUUUAAAGCACAGAACAUGCAAGUGAAGACAAACGUAUGAGUACCUCUAAAACGUGUGAUUUAAAUCCAGAUACUCUGUUUAUUCUCUAACUCAAUCCAAUGACAGUAGGAGGUUUCUCAGGGAAAGCCCUGACAACCAGGAUUUGUAGCUGUCCUGUUUGCUAAACUGCCAAGUGAUGUCUUUCAGACUGGACUGCUAUUAACAACAGAAUAAAUAUUGAACAUAUGAUAACUUCAGCUACUUCUGUAAAAAGCAGUCUUGAAAAACUGAUUGGUUGUAUUGUUUUGAUGGAUUUUUUCAUCUAUGCAUUUACUCAUGCAUUUCCUCUCUGAAUCAUCCAAAUGUAACUCAGGAAAUUGAUCCUACUGUAGAGGCAGGAAACUUCUACAAUGACUAAUGUGGCAUUCAGGUCAAGAACUCUGUCAUUCAGGGGGAAAGAAUAAGAAAAAAAAAG
Molecule: long non-coding RNA, 2058 nt
Organism: Numida meleagris (helmeted guineafowl)
Lineage: Eukaryota; Metazoa; Chordata; Aves; Galliformes; Numididae
Exons: 2
Source: RefSeq, a predicted model, not a curated record